CUUUUACAAUGAAGAGUUUGAUCCUGGCUCAGGAUGAACGCUAGCUACAGGCUUAACACAUGCAAGUCGAGGGGCAGCAUGAAUAUUGGCUUGCCAAUAUUUGAUGGCGACCGGCGCACGGGUGAGUAACACGUAUCCAACCUUCCGGUUACUCGGGGAUAGGCUUUCGAAAGAAAGAUUAAUACCCGAUGUUGCGUAUCUUUCUCCUGAAAGAUACGCCAAAGGAUUCCGGUAACCGAUGGGGAUGCGUUCCAUUAGGCAGUUGGCGGGGUAACGGCCCACCAAACCUUCGAUGGAUAGGGGUUCUGAGAGGAAGGUCCCCCACAUUGGAACUGAGACACGGUCCAAACUCCUACGGGAGGCAGCAGUGAGGAAUAUUGGUCAAUGGACGGAAGUCUGAACCAGCCAAGUAGCGUGAAGGAUGACUGCCCUCUGGGUUGUAAACUUCUUUUAUACGGGAAUAACAUGAGGUACGCGUACCUUAUUGCAUGUACCGUUAUGAAUAAGCAUCGGCUAACUCCGUGCCAGCAGCCGCGGUAAUACGGAGGAUGCGAGCGUUAUCCGGAUUUAUUGGGUUUAAAGGGAGCGUAGGUGGGAUAUUAAGUCAGCUGUGAAAGUUUGGGGCUCAACCUUAAAAUUGCAGUUGAUACUGGUUUCCUUGAGUACGGUACAGGUGGGCGGAAUUCGUGGUGUAGCGGUGAAAUGCUUAGAUAUCACGAAGAACUCCGAUCGCGAAGGCAGCUCACCGGGCCGGAACUGACACUGAUGCUCGAAAGUGCGGGUAUCAAACAGGAUUAGAUACCCUGGUAGUCCGCACAGUAAACGAUGAAUACUCGCUGUUUGCGAUACACAGUAAGCGGCCAAGCGAAAGCGUUAAGUAUUCCACCUGGGGAGUACGCCGGCAACGGUGAAACUCAAAGGAAUUGACGGGGGCCCGCACAAGCGGAGGAACAUGUGGUUUAAUUCGAUGAUACGCGAGGAACCUUACCCGGGCUUAAAUUGCGCUGGCUUUUACCGGAAACGGUAUUUUCUUCGGACCAGCGUGAAGGUGCUGCAUGGUUGUCGUCAGCUCGUGCCGUGAGGUGUCGGCUUAAGUGCCAUAACGAGCGCAACCCUUAUCUUUAGUUACUAACAGUUUUGCUGAGGACUCUAAAGAGACUGCCGUCGUAAGAUGCGAGGAAGGUGGGGAUGACGUCAAAUCAGCACGGCCCUUACGUCCGGGGCUACACACGUGUUACAAUGGGGAGCACAGCAGGUUGCUACACGGCGACGUGAUGCCAAUCCGUAAAACUCCUCUCAGUUCGGAUCGAAGUCUGCAACCCGACUUCGUGAAGCUGGAUUCGCUAGUAAUCGCGCAUCAGCCACGGCGCGGUGAAUACGUUCCCGGGCCUUGUACACACCGCCCGUCAAGCCAUGAAAGCCGGGGGUACCUGAAGUACGUAACCGCGAGGAUCGUCCUAGGGUAAACCUGGUGAUUGGGGCUAAGUCGUAACAAGGUAGCCGUACCGGAAGGUGCGGCUGGAACACCUCCUUUCUGGAGC
This 1541-nucleotide ribosomal RNA is filed under the name Bacteroides pyogenes. RNAcentral's name for it is "bacterial SSU rRNA". It matches the Rfam family "Bacterial small subunit ribosomal RNA". The record is from RNAcentral. Lineage: Bacteria; Pseudomonadati; Bacteroidota; Bacteroidia; Bacteroidales; Bacteroidaceae.